Molecule: transfer RNA, 88 nt
Filed under: Armatimonadota bacterium
Lineage: Bacteria; Bacillati; Armatimonadota
Also listed under: 1 other name
Description: Armatimonadetes bacterium (activated sludge metagenome) tRNA-Ser
Rfam family: tRNA
About the family: Transfer RNA (tRNA) molecules are approximately 80 nucleotides in length.
Source: RNAcentral
GGACAGGUCGCAUAGUGGUCUAGUGCGCCGCACUCGAAAUGCGGUGAGGUGCAAGCCUCCGUGGGUUCGAAUCCCACCCUGUCCGCCA